Molecule: ribosomal RNA, 697 nt
Filed under: Pseudomonas sp.
Lineage: Bacteria; Pseudomonadati; Pseudomonadota; Gammaproteobacteria; Pseudomonadales; Pseudomonadaceae
Description: bacterial SSU rRNA
Rfam family: Bacterial small subunit ribosomal RNA
Source: RNAcentral
UGGCUCAGAUUGAACGCUGGCGGCAGGCCUAACACAUGCAAGUCGAGCGGAUGAAAGGAGCUUGCUCCUGAAUUCAGCGGCGGACGGGUGAGUAAUGCCUAGGAAUCUGCCUGGUAGUGGGGGACAACGUUUCGAAAGGAACGCUAAUACCGCAUACGUCCUACGGGAGAAAGCAGGGGACCUUCGGGCCUUGCGCUAUCAGAUGAGCCUAGGUCGGAUUAGCUAGUUGGUGAGGUAAUGGCUCACCAAGGCGACGAUCCGUAACUGGUCUGAGAGGAUGAUCAGUCACACUGGAACUGAGACACGGUCCAGACUCCUACGGGAGGCAGCAGUGGGGAAUAUUGGACAAUGGGCGAAAGCCUGAUCCAGCCAUGCCGCGUGUGUGAAGAAGGUCUUCGGAUUGUAAAGCACUUUAAGUUGGGAGGAAGGGUUGUAGAUUAAUACUCUGCAAUUUUGACGUUACCGACAGAAUAAGCACCGGCUAACUCUGUGCCAGCAGCCGCGGUAAUACAGAGGGUGCAAGCGUUAAUCGGAAUUACUGGGCGUAAAGCGCGCGUAGGUGGUUUGUUAAGUUGGAUGUGAAAUCCCCGGGCUCAACCUGGGAACUGCAUCCAAAACUGGCAAGCUAGAGUAUGGUAGAGGGUGGUGGAAUUUCCUGUGUAGCGGUGAAAUGCGUAGAUAUAGGAAGGAACACCAG